AUUGACAUCCCUCAAACCAAGAUUCUACAGAGCUGACAGAGUCAGAAUUCUAAGACAGUUGGGGGAAACUGACAACUGUCUUUCUCAAUCUGGGUGGCAGACUGAAAGGCUGUGUGUCAAAGGGUCUCCCUGAAGAAAUCAUCUUUGAAGCUGCGUCACUUGGAUUAUCCUCAAGAAAAGGUUGAGUGUGUGUUUCCCUUUCACACUGGAGGACAGAUGCAAGAGACAGAGUUAAAACAAGCAGCCAGGACAUUAUCAUUUCAUUCAAAUGCACUGCACAACCCUGCCUUUCUCUCAGCCCGGGAUCCUGUCAAGUGUUCUAAGCCCAAUCAUUCGAGACCCUUGCUUCCAGAGGAAAUGUCCAGAGGCUGCACACAAAGGUCAGUCCAUGAAAUUGAAGGCACACCUAGAACUCUGACCACAUUGACUAUGGGGAAAUCCUAGAAAAUGGUCAAUCAGAUUCAAUUAACUUAUUUUUAGGAUGAAUUGCUUUCAUAAAAGAAUAAUAAUUAAGAUGCCAUAAUCAUUUUCUCAUUUACCAAUUGAUCCAAGUUGGUUGUUUAAAAAAUUAAUCUAACAUAGUCAAAUUAAUAACUCGCUAAUCAUCACUGGCCUUGAAAUUAGAGUUCAAUUUGGAAACAUAUGUAGGUCUUUUUUUUUAAACCUUUAAAAGACUUUUUAAAUUACGAACAAAAAAAUCAUUAACAAACAGGAAUAUUUUUAUACACAAAAGGUG
RNAcentral lists this long non-coding RNA (736 nucleotides) under Monodelphis domestica (gray short-tailed opossum). Its description in RNAcentral is "lncRNA (ENSMODG00000037968.1)". The record is from RNAcentral. Lineage: Eukaryota; Metazoa; Chordata; Mammalia; Didelphimorphia; Didelphidae.